UGAUGAUGACCCUACACCGACCGAUGAU
RNAcentral lists this small RNA (28 nucleotides) under Bombyx mori (domestic silkworm). Its description in RNAcentral is "ovarian small RNA-8354". The record is from RNAcentral. Lineage: Eukaryota; Metazoa; Arthropoda; Insecta; Lepidoptera; Bombycidae.